RNAcentral lists this unclassified non-coding RNA (228 nucleotides) under Basidiomycota sp. RNAcentral's name for it is "partial contains small subunit ribosomal RNA, internal transcribed spacer 1, and 5.8S ribosomal RNA". The stretch from base 1 to 47 matches the Rfam family "Eukaryotic small subunit ribosomal RNA", at positions 1785 to 1831 of the family's 1831-position model. The record is from RNAcentral. Lineage: Eukaryota; Fungi; Basidiomycota.
AAAGUCGUAACAAGGUUUCCGUAGGUGAACCUGCGGAAGGAUCAUCAUUGGAUUUUAGAUAGCCUGGGCUUCCACAGUUGGCUUGACAGAGCUGGCUGUGGGAGACCCAUCCUAUAUCCAUUCCCAGCAAAUUGUAUUUUGGAGGGAGGCUUGGUUGACUGAGCAAUGCGAGAGGACAUGUGGGGAGAAAAGAGCAAACAACUUUCAACAACGGAUCUCUUGGCUCUC